AUUGAACGCUGGCGGCAUGCCUUACACAUGCAAGUCGAACGGUAACGGGCCUUCGGGUGCCGACGAGUGGCGAACGGGUGAGUAAUACAUCGGAACGUGCCCGCUCGUGGGGGAUAACGAGGCGAAAGCUUUGCUAAUACCUCAUACGAUCUACGGAUGAAAGCAGGGGACCGCAAGGCCUUGCGCGGACGGAGCGGCCGAUGGCAGAUUAGGUAGUUGGUGGGAUAAAAGCUUACCAAGCCGACGAUCUGUAGCUGGUCUGAGAGGAUGAUCAGCCACACUGGGACUGAGACACGGCCCAGACUCCUACGGGAGGCAGCAGUGGGGAAUUUUGGACAAUGGGCGCAAGCCUGAUCCAGCCAUGCCGCGUGCAGGAUGAAGGCCUUCGGGUUGUAAACUGCUUUUGUACGGAACGAAAAGCCUUCUUUUAAUACAGGAGGGUCAUGACGGUACCGUAAGAAUAAGUACCGGCUAACUACGUG
RNAcentral lists this ribosomal RNA (482 nucleotides) under uncultured bacterium. RNAcentral describes it as "partial 16S ribosomal RNA". It matches the Rfam family "Bacterial small subunit ribosomal RNA", at positions 30 to 507 of the family's 1533-position model. The record is from RNAcentral.